AGCUUUGAACAGUGGCAGUAUCGUAGCCGAUGAAGUUUAAAUGAGACAUGAUUAUUGCUUAUUGAAAAAUAUGAAUUGACAGCAAAAAUGGAUGUGAACAGCAUCAUUGAGUUUCCAUUCUGAUGAUAUGCUUGCAUG
Rhincodon typus (whale shark) is the source of this 138-nucleotide small nuclear RNA. RefSeq annotates it as U4 spliceosomal RNA. The transcript has a single exon. Lineage: Eukaryota; Metazoa; Chordata; Chondrichthyes; Orectolobiformes; Rhincodontidae. The record is from RefSeq and is a predicted model, not a curated record.